CCUACGGGAGGCAGCAGUGGGGAAUAUUGCACAAUGGGGGAAACCCUGAUGCAGCGACGCCGCGUGAGUGAAGAAGUAAUUCGUUAUGUAAAGCUCUAUCAGCAGGGAAGAAAAUGACGGUACCUGAGUAAGACGCCCCGGCUAACUCCGUGCCAGCAGCCGCGGGAAUACGUAGGGGGCAAGCGUUAUCCGGAUUUACUGGGUGUAAAGGGAGCGUAGACGGCAGUGCAAGGCGGGAGUGAAGGGCGGGGGCUCAACCCCCGGACUGCUCUGGAAACUGUACGGCUGGAGUGCAGGAGAGGUAAGUGGAAUUCCUAGUGUAGCGGUGAAAUGCGUAGAUAGUAGGGAACACCAGUGGCGAAGGCGGCUUACUGGACUGUAACUGACGUUGAGGCUCGAAAGCGUGGGGAGCAAACAGGAUUAGAUACCCGUGUAGUC
RNAcentral lists this ribosomal RNA (438 nucleotides) under uncultured bacterium. Its description in RNAcentral is "partial 16S ribosomal RNA". It matches the Rfam family "Bacterial small subunit ribosomal RNA", at positions 338 to 795 of the family's 1533-position model. The record is from RNAcentral.